Passer domesticus (house sparrow) is the source of this 2084-nucleotide long non-coding RNA. RefSeq lists it as uncharacterized. The transcript is spliced from 3 exons. The record is from RefSeq and is a predicted model, not a curated record. Lineage: Eukaryota; Metazoa; Chordata; Aves; Passeriformes; Passeridae.
AGGAAGGAAGGAAGGAAGGAAGGAAACUACUAGUUCAAUAAUGUGUGCUUGCUGCUUUUGCAGAUUUUCACUGGCAUUUCUUUUAUAUCUAUACAUGAAGCUUUGUCCACUUUCAAACCACUCCAAACACCCCAGUGCUUUCCUCAAGGCAAGACAGGCACAGUGGGCUUGGUACAACUGGCAUUCUGGCAGAGUGUCCUACCCCACAAAAAAUUCACAAGAAAUGGGGACUACAGCUGACUUCCAAACUACAGUGCCAGGAUAUAUUAACUAACAGAGAGUGUCCAAAGGAGAGUAACGAAGAUGGUUGAGAAAGACCUUGAGGUGAAGUCGUAUGAGGAGCAGCUGAGGUCACUUGUUCUGUUCAGCCUGGAGAAGAGGAGGUGGAGGGGAGACCUCGCUGCACUUACAACUUCCUUGUGAGGGGAAAAGGAGGGCCAGGCACUCAUCUCUUCUCUCUGGUGACAGUCAGCACACCCAAGUGAAUGGCCUGAAGUUCUGUCAGGAGAGGAUUAGGUUGGAUGUCUGGAAAAUUUUCUUCCACCAGAGGAUAACUGGGCACUGCACCAGGAUCCCCAGGAAAGUGGGCACUGCACCAAGCCUGACAGAAUUCAAUAAGUGUUUAGACAAAGCUCUCAGGUACAUGGUGUGACUAUUGAUGUGUUCUGUGUUGGGCCAGGAGUGGGACUUCAAUGACCUUUGUAGUGCCUUCCAUCUUAGAACAUUUAAUCAUUCUAUGAUUCUAUGGGAAUGAAGGAGUUAAAAAUAUUAAUUAUUAAUAUGUAUUAUUUAAUUAUUAAUUAUUUAGUAUUAAUCUAUGAAUAGAUUUAGCCAAGACAAAUGAGCUGCUGUUUAUUGUGCUUAUCAUUACUUUUAAAACAAGGCAGCAAUAUUGAUCAUUACUUAUCCUAAGUAUUCAUAGAAUUUGUAGAACUCAAAGUUGUAGUCUGCUAUAGACUUCUUCUCAGUCUCCUCUUUUCUAGGCUGAACAAGCCAAAUGAUCUCACCAUUCAUCAUAUGUCUUCCCUUCUAGAACCCUUUAUAAACUUUGUAGUCUCCUUUGUACACUUUCUAACAGAUUUAUAUCUCUCUUAUAUUGUGGUGACCAAAACUGCACACAGGACUCGAGGUAAGGCUGCACCAGCACAGAAAAAAGCAGGACUAUCCCCUCCUUUGACCAGCUUUUUAAGUUUGCUGGCAGAGAAAGACUCCUGUCAUUGUUUUUACAGAAGGGCCAGUGUUCCUGCAAUUGUCUCUAAGAGCUUCUGUUUCCCAGAACUAAGUAUUUCUACCAGGUUGAAAAGAAAUAAAUCUCAAAAUAAAUUCCAUCUAGGGAAAUGUGUGCAUCUCUUUAUAAGUGCAAUGCAGAUUCACUGCAUCUCCAUGGUACUGUUCUCAGGAUAAUGGAAAAUUAUGACUGCAAAAAUCAAAAACCCCAAAAAAAAUAGAAGUGUUAUUCUACUGAACAGAAUAUUUAAAGUUAUUCAGAAAAAAGUUUAAGAAGCAAGAAUGAACACAGCUGCAGUAGGAUGAAUGUACCUCUGUAAAUAGUAUUUAAGCUUUUACUUUCAAUGUCUGAUAAGAAUGUCAACAACAUAAUAGCACUCUUCAGCAAAAAAUGUACUUCAUUUUCAAAAUAUGAUGUCUCAACAUGAAGUAUUUGAAAUUUUUAUGUGAAAGUUUUAGCUUAUCCAAUAUAUAUUGGGAGGUUUUCAACUAAAGCAUUGUUCAUAAAAGUCAAAAAGUCAGAUGUCACUAUGUUGUACUAUGAAAUCUAAAUUUAUAUAUUUAUUUAUUACUUGGAAUUUAAAUAGUGAAGUUCUAAAAGUGUAUUUUCUAUUCUGCUGUCUCUGUCAUCUUGAACAUUUAUAUCACAUUGUCUUUUCAAAAACAAACAAACAAACAAAAAUAGAACAAGAAGAGGAAAAAAAAUUACCUUUUGUUUUCUAUGUAACUUUCCAUAAGUAAUUGGAUUUUUUUGUUGUUGUUGGAAUAGGCUUUCCAUUAGUGGAACUAACAGAUUUUUUGAGAAGGAAAGGUAAAAUGUUCUAUAUAAGAUUGUGUUCUGGGUGUUAGUUUUUUUC